GAAAUGCGAUAAGUAAUGUGAAUUGCAGAAUUCAGUGAAUCAUCGAAUCUUUGAACGCACCUUGCGCUCCUUGGUAUUCCGAGGAGCAUGCCUGUUUGAGUGUCAUGGAAUUCUCAACUCUAUUUGCUUUUGUGAAUAGAGCUUGGAUUUGGAGGUUUAUUGCUGGUACUUGUGAUCGGCUCCUCUUGAAUGCAUUAGCUCGAACCUUUGCGGAUCAGCUAUCGGUGUGAUAAUUGUCUACGCCGUUGCAGUGAAGCAUAUCAAUGGGCUCGGCUUCCAAUCGUCCUUUACUGGACAAUGACUUUGACCUUUGACCUCAAAUCAGGUAGGAUUACCGGCUGAACUUAAGC
Molecule: unclassified non-coding RNA, 350 nt
Filed under: plant metagenome
Description: partial contains 5.8S ribosomal RNA, internal transcribed spacer 2, and large subunit ribosomal RNA
Rfam family: 5.8S ribosomal RNA (bases 1-105)
Source: RNAcentral